GACGAACGCUGGCGGCGUGCUUAACACAUGCAAGUCGAACGGAAAGGCCUUGCUUUUGUGGGGUGCUCGAGUGGCGAACGGGGGAGUAACACGUGAGUAACCUGCCCUUUACUUUGGGAUAACUUCAUUAAACUCGGGCUCUUACCGGAUAUAAACUCCUUCUGCAUGGUGUGUGUUUGAAAGUUUCGGCGGUUGGGGAUGGACUCGAGGCUUAUCAGCUUGUUGGUGGGGUAGUGGCUUACCAAGGCUUUGACGGGUAGCCGGCCUGAGAGUGUGACCGGCCACAUUGGGACUGAGAUACGGCCCAGACUCAUACUGGAGGCAGCAGUGGGGAAUAUUGCACAAUGGGCGGAAGCAGGAUGCAGCAACGCCGCGUGCGGGAUGACGGCCUUCGGGUUGUAACCCGCUUUAGCCUGUGACGAAGCGUGAGUGACGGUAAUGGGUAAAGAAGCACCGGCUAACUACGUG
RNAcentral lists this ribosomal RNA (468 nucleotides) under uncultured bacterium. RNAcentral describes it as "partial 16S ribosomal RNA". It matches the Rfam family "Bacterial small subunit ribosomal RNA", at positions 28 to 507 of the family's 1533-position model. The record is from RNAcentral.